UUAUUUCUUCAGCGCAGCCACCUUCCUUUCUCCUUUUUCUUCCGUUUGGUGAAAAACUGCCUGCUUAUUCCACACGUGGGCUUGAGUAGCUGAAAUGGCUGUGAGGAAAAUACAACACUGUUUUCUGGCCUCAUUUUAAAUUAUGAGCACAAACCUGGCAAUCCUACUGUAUUCCAAUAAUGAAUUCAUUGAUUCUAACUACUUUUCCCCCUUUUUCCUGUCCCCUCAAACUUCCAACAGCCUUGCCCUGUUUCUUGUCCACAAUUAAAAGCCUUGCCGCCUACUUCACUAAGAGAAUACUUGUACCUGAAAAAGAAUUUCUCCCUUCUUUGUCAGCAGAUUUACCCAUUCCUCAGUCUUUGUCCUCCCCAGGCUUAUGAUCCCACCCAUGGCCAGCUUCUCACCUACCAAAGGGCUUGAUUCCUAUAGUUUUCUCUCUUGAAUUAUUUUUUUUUCUAAUCAGCAUAUAACUGUGCUGUGACAUUUUCCUGCUCUAAAUAAAUCAGUCAGUAAAAAUCAACUCUUAACUCUCGCCCCCUCCCAAUUACUGUGCCCUUCUUCGGUUCUUCUCGACAACAAAUUUUCUCUAAAGGAUUUUGAAACAUGCUGUCUUCAUUUUGUUUCAACCACUACUGCACUCCAGGGAAGUCGCUUCUGCAGUGUGACCCUGAUAUUGCCAGAUCAGAUUCUGUUCUCAGUUCUCUGCGGACUUCACCUGUCAUCAUGUUUGGCACAGUUCAUCCUCAUCCACGGUCAAAGACUUUCUUCAUUUGUCUCUGAGAUCCUAAACUCACUCGGUUCGUCUUUUGCCCCAUUGCCCACUGUCUCAGUCUACUUUGUUGGAGCUCUCUUCACUUGAUGACCUUUAAAUAUCAGAACACUCCCAGCCUCAGUUCCCAAACCUCUUUUCUUUUUAUAUAUUCACACCGUAGGUGACUUUGUCCAGGCACAUGGCUUUAUAUCCCAUGUAUGUGCUGAUAUGUCCUAAACAUUUAUCUGCAGGCUUUACUCAUGUACACCUCUGCCUCUUUGUAUUCCCACUCAGAUGUCUAGGAGUAUCUCAAACUUAUAAUGUCCAAAAUAGAACACCUGAUCUUUUCCUCCUUCUAAGUUUGCUCCACCCCCACCUCUUACCUGACUGGCAUCACUGCCCACUGUUAUGCCAGGCCAGAACUCACAGUUAACCUUUGUCUCACCUUUCUCUCAUAUAUCACCUCUAGCCUAUCAGCAAACCUUUGCUAGUGCUACAUUCAAACUAUACCUAGAAUGCCAUCACUUUUUACCACCACUGUUACUGCCACCCUGGUCUGAGCCAUUGCCAUUUUCCACGUUGAUUAUUACAGCAUUGUCAUAACUCAUCUCUGUUUCCAUCCCUAGCCUCCAAAGAGUUUAGAAUGCUUUCAUUGAAAGUGGCAGAGAUAUCCCUGAAAAUUUUAGGCUAAAAAAGCGUGGCUUUUUAUUUUCUCUUCUGUAAAAGAAACCUAAAAGUACGCCGUGUAGGGACUGGCAUGGGGGUUGCACCAUAUCAUCAAGAAACCAGAGCCUUCUCAAUUUUUGUUCCACAUCAUUACCCUGACUUGCUUGAGCAUUACCUCAUGGUCCAAGAUGACCAUUGCAGUGCUGGGCAUUAUUGUUCCAGGGCCCAGAUGGGGAAGGUGGGUGCAGAGCUGGGCUAAAGGGCUUGCCAACCAGCAAAUCAUCUUUUUAUUAAAAAAAAAAAAAAAACCCUCAGUAGUAUCACCUUUAUGACUGCAAAAGAAGGUGAAAAAUGUUAUCUUUUAGCCAAAUCUAAUGCCCUGUAGAAUAGUAUCAGAAUUCUACUAGUAAAGAAGAAAGGGACAAUAGAAACAAGGUAGGCAACCAUCCAAGCCAAUUACAGCCUUGAGCCUUUUUUGCUGUUUCCACUUCCUGAAAUAUGCUCCUCCCAAAGGUCCAUCUGGCUGCUGCCUCAUUUUCUUUGGGAUCCUUGCUCGAGUGCUACUUCUUCCUUAGAGCGCCCCUCCCCCGCUGGCCUACAUGGAGUAGCCACUUCUUGCUCUCUGUCCUUUUAUCCGGUUUUCUGUGUAGUUGGGUUUUUGGGGUUUGGCUUUUUUUUUUUAAAUGAUUUUUGGGGUUUGUGUAGCCCUUGUGAAACAAAACAAAAAAACUGCAAAUCAUAGAACAGAAGCUUCAAGUGACCAGAAACGUUGCCCUUCACUGCUGUGUUUCCAGAAUUUAGAAGAUAUCUAGCUUAGUUGGUACUCAACAAAUAUUGGAUGGAAAGAAGAGUGAGGGAGAAAAGGAAGAAAGGGAAGCAGGGAGGGAGGAGAGGAAGAGGAAAAGAAAGAGGUGGGAAGUGUUUGACUAACAGGUGGUGUAUAUUACUACCUGUGUUAACUAAAAAGAGUUUGACUGGCAGGGGAAGUCCUAGAGCUGUGUUUCAGUUCUUCUAAACCCCACUGUCUUCCUCUCAGGCUGUUGCCCUAGGCGGUCAGAGCUGCCUGGUUAGAGCCGCAGAGACACAGAGGUGGCCGUCCUUCAAGCAGGGCAACUCAAAGAACUAGAUAUGCUCUACAUGCUACCUCUACUGAUGCUUUCAAUAAAAAGAAGUUUGAAUUUAGAAAACAUCAGUUGGUACAUACAAAUAAAAUAUCCCGAGUUAGUGCAAAAAUUGAAAAGAAAAAAUAUGGUCUGUUUUAUAGUAAUGUCAAAACUUUAAUUUCUCUUUAUUGUUUUUACUAUUUUUUUUUCCGCCUUGGGACUACCUCAGGCCAUUUCAUUGGUUUUUUUGCCCUGUCUUUUCCAGAGUAUACUCAGAUGUUAUUUAAAAGAAUGCUGUGAAAAAACUUGAGUCUUACCUCUUCAACUCACCCUGGGUCCAAAAUACCGGCUCACCUUGCCACCCACAUUGCCCAGACCUAUUUUUAUUUUCUUCAGGCUUGUGUCGUUUUUUUUCCUCUUCCAUUUCUACCUGUUCCACACUGUUAUCUCUUAUUCCUCUUCUCUAAACUACCCAUUUAAAAGUAAUAUACAUAAUACUUUCAUUCUGUCCCAAGCUGUUCCCAUUUCAUAGUCUUUCCCUUUGAGACAAUGAUCUAACUGUAUUUCUUUAAAAAACAGACUUCUUCCAUUGUGAAUAUUAAAGAUAUCGUUUUCUAAGAUUUGAAGGAUCUCACCCAUUAUAGUUUUCUAAGAUUUGAAGAAGGCUUCAUGUGUCUUGUGGGUUUUGUUUCACCUAAGUUUCUGUUACUUGGCAGCAGCCCUUUUCCCAAAAAAAUUGGCUUAGUAGACUGGCUGCUUUGGACUGUUUGUAAACAAAUAUAAAAGCAAUUAUUUAUAAAUACAAUAUAAGGAUCAUGUAUUCCAGCAACACCAAAUGACAUACAGCCACAUGUCCAAGUAUUUGCUUAGGGUUUUUCCUUUGACCUAAAAUGAACUUUAGCUGCCUUAUCUCGUCCCCCUUUUCUCUUUCCAAACACAUAAUCUAAAAUAUAUCCCUCUUGGUGAGGGGGGCGGAAAGCAAAUCUGCUUCCCACUGCCACCACCCACAUUAAAAAAUGUCUUAGGUGAUGCUGGGUAGCAUGACCAACCAUCCUAGAUUUGCCUUGGACUGAAAGGUUUUCCUGGUUACAGAACUUCCCAUACUAACAGAAAGUCCCAGGCAAAAUGUGAUGAGUUGGUAACCCUAAUCCUGGGUUACUUUGUCCAUACAUCUUUAUUAUUUAUAGUAUCUUGCUAAAAAUAUUUAUGUGCAUAUUUGUGUUCUUUAUUACACUGUAGAAUCCUCAAGUUCAGGGAUCACACCAUAUUUAUCUUUUACUCCCAAUAUCAGACAAAAUACCGGGCACAUGGAUGUGGCAUCAUAGAUGUUUAUUGGUUGAAUGGAUCAGUCAUUCACUAAUGACUGUAAAACACCGACUCGAUUAAAAAUACAGCAGAAGAAUCACUUGAACCCAGGAGGCGGAAGUUGCAGUGAGCCAAGAUCGCGCCGCUGCACUCCAGCCCGGGUGACAGGAUGAGACUCGGUCUCAGAAAAACCCACAAAUUUUUAAGUAAAUUUUUAUGAUCUAUGUACUAUUUUUAUGAUCUAUGUACUAUCUUGUGUUGUGUGCUUUAUUCUUACUAGUGCUUUGUAUACUUAUCCACAGAUCUAUUUUGUUGGAAUUAUCCUAAAACAUAUGUAUCUACAUUAAUUUUAUGUGUAUGUUAUUGAUUAUCCUCAGUAACUCAUCUUAUACUUCAGGUUAAGGCUCUGUUUUAGCUUAUUUCAGAAACUCACUGUACAAUUUGACUUAAUUUAAAUAGUUGAAAAAUUCGUCUUCUAGAUCUAAUUACUGCAAUCAUGACAGAUUGCCCCUUUUCUCUCAGAAUCUCCAGAUUGCCUUGAGCUUUCCUCUUUCUUCAUACUAAUUGGUUAACAUGUUUCAUCAGUUCCCGUUUGCUUGAUAGCUAGGUAACACAUCCAGUCUGUCAUAUCCUAACCCACUGCUCUAAUGAAGACCUAUAUCACCACUCACCUGAAUUAGUGCAGAUUGCCAACUCAUCUUCCAGUCUCUAGUCUCUGGCUGCUCUGGGCCAUCAUAGGACUGUAUCAGUUCUAAACAUCAAAAGCUAUCCCUUUGCUUAAAAUUUAGGAUAGCGCUUCAGGAUAAAGUCUAAAAUCAUAGCAUUAUCUUAAUAAUAAUGUGGCCCAAAAUUAUUUGGCCAUUUAUAUUUCUUAUCCCUCUUCCUUUAAUGAUAUCAAAGUUACCAACACUCCCCACACUGUUCUUCUCUCCCCUCUUGGAAUGCCUUUGUCUGUCUAGUGAGUUCUUUCUCAUAUCCUUGAGGCUUCUAAGGUCAGCUCCUAUGUGAAAUUUCCCAACUCCCCCAGGCAAAGUUAGGAAUCCUGUGCUUUGUAAUACCGUGGCACUGCAUGUUGCCAUAUCUCAUUACCCUGUAACUAUUUUCAUAUCUUCCUAGUAUUCAUCAGUAAAGAUGGACCAGCUAAAUUUUUUAGAGGGUAAUAUACAUUUUAGUUUUUAAUGGAUUUCUUGCAGAAAUUUGCCUUCUAUCAAAUUUCCUGGUUAACCAAAAGACAAGUGAAUGUAAUUUAAUCUAUCAGUGGUAAUUACAACUUGAAGUAAUAGCAAAUACAUUUCAAUAGUAUAUAAGGGGAGAAAUAUCCAAGAAAUUGCCUUCCCAAUGUUGGCAAUACUAGCAGUAUCAUAUGAAAGAAUUUUAGCCAGAAAUUUUAACCUUUAGUUCUUGCUUAAUCCAAUACAGCUUCCAGAUGCUGUUGUUUUAUUAUGGAGUAGUUACUCUAUUUCUUAUCAAAAUUUUUGGAGGUAUAAAUAUUAUUAAUAUUUAUAAUUUAUAAAUAUUUUUCAUGCCUUUAUUUCUGUAGCAUAACUAUAGUCAAUAUUAUAAUCAUAUUUUAGGAAAAUAAGUAUGUUGGACUCAAAUAAUUUGCAUAAUUUACUUGAAUUCACAUAGCUAAAGGACAAGACCAAUAAUUUGAAUUGUCUUUUUCUGGAACCAUAUUCUUAUUUUGCCCUUUUUGGUGAUGCUAAAAGGAGUGAUAAAAUCUCUCUCUGGACUCAAGAUUAUGUGUCAAGGGGACAAAUGAUAUUAUCAACCUGUAUUAUUUUGAUGUUCUGUAAUCGAGUAGAUACAAUGUUUCCAUAAGUUUUUUUUUUAUAAAAAUAAUAUUUUGCAUUUUGGUGCAAUAUAUGUAACACAAAAUUCAUCAUCUUCACCAUUUUUAAGUGUACAAUUCAGUGGCAUUAAAUGCAUUCACAUUGUUGUGUAAGUCA
Molecule: long non-coding RNA, 5774 nt
Organism: Cebus imitator (Panamanian white-faced capuchin)
Lineage: Eukaryota; Metazoa; Chordata; Mammalia; Primates; Cebidae
Exons: 2
Source: RefSeq, a predicted model, not a curated record